ACGUCAAGGCCCGAGAUUAUUAAUCUCGAGAUUUUCUUCACGACUGAAAGUGCUUUACAACCCUAAGGCCUUCUUCACACACGCGGCAUCGCUGGUUCAGGCUUGCGCCCAU
This 112-nucleotide ribosomal RNA is filed under the name uncultured bacterium. Its description in RNAcentral is "partial 16S ribosomal RNA". The record is from RNAcentral.